GCAGCGAUGCCGCGUGAGUGAAGAAGGCCCUUGGGUUGUAAAGCUCUUUCGUCGGGGAAGAAAAUGACUGUACCCGAAUAAGAAGGUCCGGCUAACUUCGUGCCAGCAGCCGCGGUAAUACGAAGGGACCUAGCGUAGUUCGGAAUUACUGGGCUUAAAGAGUUCGUAGGUGGUUGAAAAAGUUAGUGGUGAAAUCCCAGAGCUUAACUCUGGAACUGCCAUUAAAACUUUUCAGCUAGAGUAUGAUAGAGGAAAGCAGAAUUUCUAGUGUAGAGGUGAAAUUCGUAGAUAUUAGAAAGAAUACCAAUUGCGAAGGCAGCUUUCUGGAUCAUUACUGACACUGAGGAACGAAAGCAUGGGUAGCGAAGAGGAUUAGAUACCCUCGUAGUCCAUGCCGUAAACGAUGUGUGUUAGACGUUGGAAAUUUAUUUUCAGUGUCGCAGGGAAACCGAUAAACACACCGCCUGGGGAGUACGACCGCAAGGUUAAAACUCAAAUGAAUUGACGGGGACCCGCACAAGUAGUGGAGCAUGUGGUUUAAUUCGAAGAUACGCGCAGAACCUUACCAACACUUGACAUGUUCGUCGCGACUCUAAGAGAUUAGAGUUUUCGGUUCGGCCGGACGAAACACAGGUGCUGCAUGGCUGUCGUCAGCUCGUGUCGUGAGAUGUUGGGUUAAGUCCCGCAACGAGCGCAACCCUCACUUUUAGUUGCCAUCAUUAAGUUGGGCACUCUGAAAGAACUGCCAGUGAUAAGCUGGA
Molecule: ribosomal RNA, 761 nt
Filed under: uncultured Alphaproteobacteria bacterium
Lineage: Bacteria; Pseudomonadati; Pseudomonadota; Alphaproteobacteria
Description: bacterial SSU rRNA
Rfam family: Bacterial small subunit ribosomal RNA
Source: RNAcentral